This 3912-nucleotide long non-coding RNA is filed under the name Zea mays. RNAcentral describes it as "long non-coding RNA (ZMAY_LNC002263)". The record is from RNAcentral. Lineage: Eukaryota; Viridiplantae; Streptophyta; Magnoliopsida; Poales; Poaceae.
GUACAAAAAUAUGAAUCGUGAAGUAAAUUAAUUAUUGCUUGACAAAAGAAAAGAGAAUGAAUAUUUCUUAAAGUUAUCCUCAGCCACCGCUUAACAACAUAAGCGUUAUCUUCAAGCUGCCGUAUCCUGUACUUUCUUAUCCCGUCGUUGAUUUUUUCUGCUCGCUGGCCGCACAAGCCUCCAGCUCUUGUCUGUGCCGGCCGUCGCCCAGCCUGUCGAUCUCAUCUUCCUGUGAUUUUUAUCAGCCGCUGCACAGCCUUCAUCUCCCUCUCACUGCGUCCAGCCGCCCCUUCCUCAAUCGCGCCCAGCGGCUCCCAUGGCGAGCUCGCCGGGAUGCCAUGCUCCAGCCGACUUCCCUCCCCGUCUUCUCCCUGCUUCUGCUCGGAGCUCCAGCUCAGCUCCCUCCGUGCGUCCGCGACCUUUGCCGUGGGGCUCCUUCCUGCGCGCGCCGGACGCCGGGUUGUCUUCAACCUCCAGCCGUGGAUUUCCUGCCGUGGAGCUUCGUUUUCCCGUGCGCGCGUCUCAUCUCCAUAGCGCUCGGCUCUCCUCCUCCCUGUCCUCUGUGCGCGCGUGUGAGAGGUGACCAGGCCUAGAAUAGGUGUGAAGUGUGUGUGCGUGCUGGGCGUGAUGGGUGGAGUGGGCCACUGUAACCGGGAUACAUAUACACUGUCUUGUGGAGGGGGAAAGGGAAUGCAUAAUGGGAAUUAUCAAUAGAAUUCUUCUCGUUCCUUUCAUCUGUUCCUGCUUCCCCUUCUCGGAUCUCUCCCUUCUCCACUGCUUUCCUAUUCCGAUUAGGCUUCAUUUGCUGCUCUUUGUUGGUGAUCCUUGAGUGGUUGCUAACAAUUGGUAUCAGAGGCGUUCGAUCCUCGGUUUCAAUUUGUCAACACCAUGUCUCUCGAUUUCAAACUCAUCCUCGAUGAGUUCAACCGACGGUUCGACGAGCUAGAGAUUCGCUGGGACCGGCGCUUCUCGUCCGCCGCGUACAUCGACCUCCCGCGCACCUCGCUCAGCAUCAACCACUCCUCCGACGCGUUCGCCAGUGCGCCGCCCACCCCGGUCGCGGUCAUUGCAGACAAUUGGGGCGGGUGCUUCGACGACGGCGAGCAGUACCGCACUAGGCCAUCCGUCGUCGUCGACAACUGGGGCGGAUUCUUCUGUGGCGAGGACGUCGCUCCGUCAGACAACCCCACGAGAUUCGUCCUCCCCGUUGCCUCCCCCGACGAGCCCAGCAUCGACACCGCGCCGACCCGCGCCAACUCUGGAGCCGCGGAUGACUCCAUGUUUGUGACCGACGAACCCUCCGGCUACGACGAGAUAGAUGCUCGACUCGACCUGCGCUUCGCCAGGCUGCAGCAGCUGCAAGCUGAGGAGGUGGACGAGCCGUACCGUGACGCGGUGAGCCCACUGCCUCCUCUACCCGUCGUCUACGAGCCAUACCGCGAGGCAAGCCAUCCGCCUCCCGUCCACGACGACGAUGCGGGGGUGGUGUCCACGGGCUCGGAUGACAACCUCGACCUGCAGCAGAUCGCCAAGGAGUCGUCCGUGUCCUCGCCGCCGCGUCACAGCUCGAGAGACGCCGUCCGAGGUCCUUGCCCUCGUCCACUGCAUCACCAGCUAACUAUCCCUGUCGCGGCCAACCUGGACCAAAUCUGCCGCCUAUCCAGGCCCUGCGAUGUGGCCGGCCGGGGUCUCCUCUGUGACCUGCUCUGGUCCGACCCUUCUUCCAUGGAGGACAGAGAGUGGGCGGACAACAAGGAUCGAUACGUGUCCUGCACCUUCGGCGCCGACGUCGCGACGGACUGCCGCCGCGCGCAGGACCUGGACAUCGUUUGCAGAGCGCACCAGGUGAUGGAGGACGAAUACGAGUUCUCUGUCGACUGUCAGCUUGUCACCUUCUUCUCUGCCCCCAACUACCGCAAGCUCGGCUGCUCCUUCACCAUCAUCAAGCCGAAGGCGGACAGAAACAGCAGCUCGCCCCUCGGGUGUUCGACAAAAUGUUUGGUCCACGCCGCCAGCACUCCAAUGAGCUUGAGCAUGCCAGAUGCUGUGCCAACACAAUAUCCAACCUCCCCGCCUCACGUCUUCACCAUCAGCAACCAUGAGAUAUCAAGCUUUGUGAUUCCUGUGCAUGACAGCACAAGUGAACACCAAGUGGUCAACCAAAGGGCGAGUCCUGAAAUUAGUGUGCUAGCAUUUUUGUACAAUGCAGAAGCUAUGCUAUUAUCAUCACUGGCAUCUAUAGCGCUUGGUCCCCCCACUGCGAGCCUCAUCACUUCGAUCUCAGCAUCAUGUGUGACUAUCAGCCUAGGCGCCCAUCAUAGCUUUGAUGAAAUGUCAAAGGGGUCAUGGUGUCUCCCACAGCUGCGACAUCAGCACUACGGGCCUGGCAAUGUUUGGAAAUUCCUCCACAGUUAUUCUUCAUGCAUCAUUGACUAUCAUGGCACUAAGCAUAACAAUGUUUUUAGGAGAGCACUCGUCUGGUGCUGCAAGCUCUACGUUCAUGAGUUGUUGGGUCAUUUUGAGUAUUUGUUGCUGGAUAUAACCAAGGAGCACACCAUCAUCUGCAUUAACUCAAGUGGCCUAGAGAGGACAUUUAUUCUGUGGCUAUCGUGGCCUACGCCAGUUAAGAUUGUUCAUGCAAGUGGUGAGCUUCGGCCAAGGUCAUGGCCAUCCCUAUAUUGCCAUCAGUCUAUAGUUGCUUUUGGAUUUGAUGAAUCGACCUAUAUUAGAGAUUGCCAGUAUUACAUCUGUCUCUUGAAGUCUCCAUGGCCACCCCCAUUAAAACAAAAUUUCAAAUACAUGUAUGCUAAACUAUCAAAAAUCAUGCUGGCGAUGGCAAUGAGUCUAAAAUGUGCACAUACUCCUGUAGUUGCUGGGCAAAUGUACAUUCAGAGAAGUAGAUGCAUGGUGGAUUGUUUUCAUAGGGAUCAAAUCUCUAAAUGCUGGAAGCAUCAGUUUGAGUUGGCAGAAAGUGCAUUUCAACUGAACCUUUGGUUUGAGUUUGAGCUGCAUGGCACCCAACAGAAACCUCCUUGGAGUGCAUUUCAACUGAACCUCUGGUUUGAGUUUGAGUUGCAUGGCACCCAACAGAAACCUCCUUGGUUAUCUAUUGUUCACAGUCUGUUGUUUCUGCUAAAACUGCUCUGUAUACAACUGAAUUGUCCAAUUGAUACGCUAGUAGAGAUCAAAGACAGUGGAUCUUCCGAAAUUCCAGUACUAGGGCUAUCCUUCAGAUGGAGCGGAAAGGCCUUAAUAACUUCUAUUCUUAUUGAAUGGGUGGUGCUAAAGCAUUUGGAUCUCCUGCACAAGAACUACCACAUAGACUGUAUAUUCAUGUUCACAGAUUACACACUGAACAGAGCUGCAACUAUUUUUGGAAGCAAAAGGAUAAAUGAAGCAAUCUUUAGUGCAACACAAACUCAUAUUAACAUCAAGCUGGCACAGUUGGGGGUUCUUGGAGCCCUUGAAAUAAUUGAUGCUGCAAGAAAAUCCUAUACUGCUCCGAUGAUCCGUGGUAUGAGUCGUCCUAGGCCGUGGCCAAAUUUUGCACCACCUCUAAUUCCAAGUCAAGGAUAUUGCUCCGUUGUCUGGCAAAGUGACCACAAUAGCAGAUGUGUGAAGUUUCCUUAUGUUGGGAGAUGCUCAGCCGAGAGUCAAUGUUUUCAGUUCAAGGCAUUGCAAUACGUGUUGCUUCACUCAUGGCACCAGGAUCUUGGAUAUGUUCAGUUUCUGCUUCGACUUGGGGGCAAGUCGAAUUUUAAGGAGGGGAGAAUGUGAGAGGUGACCAGGCCUAGAAUAGGUGUGAAGUGUGUGUGCGUGCUGGGCGUGAUGGGUGGAGUGGGCCACUGUAACCGGGAUACAUAUACACUGUCUUGUGGAGGGGGAAAGGGAAUGCAUAAUGAGAAUUAUCAA